GACGAACGCUGGCGGCGUGCUUAACACAUGCGAGUCGAACGGAAAGGCCCUGCUUUUGUGGGGUGCUCGAGUGGCGCACGGGUGAGUAACACGUGAGUAACUUCCCCUUGACUUUGGGAUAACUUUAGGAAACUCGGGCUAAUACCGGAUAGGAGCUCCUGCUGCGUGGUGGGGGUUGGAAAGUUUCGGCGGUAUGGGAUGGACUCGCGGCUUAUCAGCUUGUUGGUGGGGUAGUGGCUUACCAAGUCUUUGACGGGUAGCCGGCCUUAGAGGGUGACCGGCCACCAUAGUACUAAGAGACGCCGCAGACGCCUACGUUCGGCAGCGGGCGGAAACAUGACACAAUGACGGCGAGCCAGAUACGACAGUGCCGCGUGCGGAAAAACGUGUUUUGAGUGAUGAACCACUGUGUACUGUAACAUGGCCUGAUUGACGGUAAUGAAUAAAGAAGCACCGGCUAACUACGUG
RNAcentral lists this ribosomal RNA (468 nucleotides) under uncultured bacterium. RNAcentral describes it as "partial 16S ribosomal RNA". It matches the Rfam family "Bacterial small subunit ribosomal RNA", at positions 28 to 507 of the family's 1533-position model. The record is from RNAcentral.